RNAcentral lists this ribosomal RNA (253 nucleotides) under uncultured bacterium. RNAcentral describes it as "partial 16S ribosomal RNA". It matches the Rfam family "Bacterial small subunit ribosomal RNA", at positions 524 to 776 of the family's 1533-position model. The record is from RNAcentral.
CACGUAGGGCGCAAGCGUUGUCCGGAAUUAUUGGGCGUAAAGAGCUCGUAGGUGGUCUGUUACGUCUGCUGUGAAAACCCGGGGCUUAACCCUGGGCUUGCAGUGGAUACGGGCAGACUAGAGGCAGGUAGGGGAGACUGGAAUUCCUGGUGUAGCGGUGAAAUGCGCAGAUAUCAGGAGGAACACCGAUGGCGAAGGCAGGUCUCUGGGCCACUACUGACGCUGAGAAGCGAAAGCAUGGGGAGCGAACAGG